CCUACGAGUGGCAGCAGUGGGGAAUAUUGCACAAUGGGGGAAACCCUGAUGCAGCGACGCCGCGUGAGUGAAGAAGUAUUUCGGUAUGUAAAGCUCUAUCAGCAGGGAAGAUAAUGACGGUACCUUAGUAAGAAGCCCCGGCUAACUACGUGCCAGCAGCCGCGGUAAUACGUAGGGGGCAAGCGUUAUCCGGAUGUACUGGGUGUAAAGGGAGCGUAGACGGCAUGGCAAGUCUGAAGUGAAAGCCCCGGGCUCAACCGCGGGACUGCUUUGGAAACUGUUAAGCUGGAGUGCAGGAGAGGUAAGUGGAAUUCCUAGUGUAGCGGUGAAAUGCGUAGAUAUUAGGAGGAACACCAGUGGCGAAGGCGGCUUACUGGACUGUAACUGACGUUGAGGCUCGAAAGCGUGGGGAGCAAACAGGAUUAGAUACCCCAGUAGUC
Molecule: ribosomal RNA, 440 nt
Filed under: uncultured bacterium
Lineage: Bacteria
Description: partial 16S ribosomal RNA
Rfam family: Bacterial small subunit ribosomal RNA
Source: RNAcentral